This 96-nucleotide signal recognition particle RNA is filed under the name Mycoplasmatota bacterium. RNAcentral describes it as "Tenericutes bacterium signal recognition particle sRNA small type". It matches the Rfam family "Bacterial small signal recognition particle RNA". Rfam says of the family: The signal recognition particle (SRP) is a universally conserved ribonucleoprotein involved in the co-translational targeting of proteins to membranes. Archaeal SRP consists of a 7S RNA and homologues of the eukaryotic SRP19 and SRP54 proteins. Lineage: Bacteria; Bacillati; Mycoplasmatota. The record is from RNAcentral.
CAAGCAUCAUCACUCAAUAGUAGCUUGUGAACCUGGUCAGGUCUUGAUUGAAGCAGCCAUAAGCGUAGUCUAUUAUGUGGGUGGUGAUGCUUGAUG